RNAcentral lists this small nuclear RNA (106 nucleotides) under Cavia aperea (Brazilian guinea pig). The record is from RNAcentral. Lineage: Eukaryota; Metazoa; Chordata; Mammalia; Rodentia; Caviidae.
GUUCUUGCUUCAAUACUACAUAUAUUAAAAUUAGAAUGACAGACAGAAGAUCAGCAUGGCUCCAAGGCAGGAUGACAUGAAAAUUCAUGAACCAUNCUGUAUUUUU